Molecule: transfer RNA, 79 nt
Filed under: Thermoproteota archaeon
Lineage: Archaea; Thermoproteati; Thermoproteota
Also listed under: 1 other name
Description: tRNA-Arg
Rfam family: tRNA
About the family: Transfer RNA (tRNA) molecules are approximately 80 nucleotides in length. Their secondary structure includes four short double-helical elements and three loops (D, anti-codon, and T loops).
Source: RNAcentral
GGGCCCGUAGCUCAGCACGGAUCAGAGCGCCGGCCUCCGGAGCCGGUGGUCGCGGGUUCAAGUCCCGCCGGGCCCGCCA